This is a long non-coding RNA of Artibeus jamaicensis (Jamaican fruit-eating bat), 1590 nucleotides long. RefSeq lists it as uncharacterized. The record is from RefSeq and is a predicted model, not a curated record. The transcript is spliced from 3 exons. NCBI's taxonomy places the organism in Eukaryota, Metazoa, Chordata, Mammalia, Chiroptera, Phyllostomidae.
AGCUGGCAGAUGAGAACAGCGAGCUCCCCCAGAAGUGGUCACCGGGGCGCAGAGCCGCCCUCGGGCUCCUCCCUUCCCCGGGGCCAAGUGUGGGCUGGGUCCUUCUUUACACCUCAAUGCCCAGGACCAGCCAGGGACGGAGACAGGCCAGGAAUCGGGGUGGGCCUUGCACAGCGCCCGCCACCGGCAACUCUGCCGGGUGCUUACUUUCCAGCAGAGGGGCUCCCCGGUCCAGGGAGGGGCCCGCCCUGCAGCUGCCACAGCCUUUCUGGACGCUGCCUGAGUGGAUCAGCUGAGGGCCUUCCUCCGAGGAAGCGGGGGCUGGAGCUGCGGGUGGGGCGGUGGGGGGCCCAGCCCCACAGGGGUGUGUCCCAGGUGCUCUCCCAGGCCCAAGGCCCCAGCCAGCCGGGCGUGCCCGCUCCCAGACCAGCACUCCUGACGCCUUCGGAAGGGGCCUCCUGCACGGGGGCUCAAGAAGUGGGGAGGGCUCUGAAUGCAGGUUGGCAAGCGGCUUCUGGCACCCCCUGGGUGCCCUGCCAUGCCAGGCACAGGUAGGGGGAGGAGAGAAAUGGGGUACACAUUCUGUCCCCCUGGCAGCCCCAGAGCAGCCCCAGGCCCAGGUUCAGAAGAGAGGGCCAUAGCCCACCCAUGGCAAGGCUAAGAGAAGACCUUGGAGAUGAUCCUUUAAGGCAGCAGUCCCCAAACUUGGUGGCCCGAGGGGCUGCUUUUUCCAUGGACUGGUGGGGGGCGAGGCAGGAGGCGGAGCUCAGGCCAGCUUCCCUCUAAGCCACUGGUGCAGGCCCAAGGCCAGCUGGGGGUUGAGGACCCUGUCCUCAGGACAAAGUCGCCCUCCCAUUGCCAAUGUCAAGAGCAAAAAUAUCGCAGUGGCCCUAAUGCCUUGACAGAGGAUUCACCAGCAAAUUCAGGUCCAUCCACAGAGGCGCCUUCAGGGGCCGUUGAUUCGGGGCUAUGUACACAGCCAGACCAAGCAGCUCUACUGGGCCAGCAGACUGCCCGUCAGAGGGCGGCAGACACCUCGGCGCAGCCCUCCGCGGUGGCAGAGAGGGACAGGCCCUGAGGAAGCUCACAGAGGCCGCACGGCCCCACGCACGGACCAGAGAAGCCAGGCAGCGGGGCGCUCGCAUCACAGUCCCUGUCCCUGGAAUUCUGGGGAGGACGCACCCACUGCGCAGUCAGCAAGGCCCCCCUGCUCCAUCCUCUGAGCCACACCAGCCAGGGCCAUAACUUGAUUUAAAAAGAAGACAAGGAAUUGAGAAGAACAAGCCAGAAACACAAAGACCACGUCGCUGUGAGAGAGGAGCAUGGGUCGUUGGCUGUCUCCGGGACACCCCCAGACCAGGGUCAGUGGGUGCAGCAGGGACCUGGAAUGGCACCGGAAACCUUUCCCCACGGUGAGGACGCUCUACCCAACUCAGCCACGCCGGCCCAGGACGCCAAGGACCCAUUUCUGGGUGCGUGUAGUGUCCCAUCCGUGCGCAGGACAGGGUGGGAGCCGGCCCUCUCUCUGAAAAGUCCUAAGAAAGAGCUGAAACUUGUAAUUGUGGUCUUUUCUGAGGACAGUUUUGCGGG